ACGCAUGACUAUGAUGUUAAAAUGCGCAACGUGGUGAAGUUCCUGGAAAAAGGCGACAAGGUCAAAGUGACCCUGCGCUUCCGUGGCCGCGAAAUGGCCCACCAGAACCUUGGUCGAGAGCUUCUUUUGCGUGUUGCCGAAGACAUCAAGGAAUUGGGCAAAGUUGAAAACAUGCCCAAGAUGGAAGGCCGUCAGAUGGUCAUGAUGAUCGGCCCGCUCCCGAAGUAAUCCCAUCUUGUAUCUAAUGUAAAACGCCCUGCAGCCGCGGGGCGUUUUCUUUUGGGCUGAUGAACAGUCCGA
RNAcentral lists this unclassified non-coding RNA (300 nucleotides) under Aliiroseovarius halocynthiae. RNAcentral's name for it is "Long range pseudoknot". The record is from RNAcentral. Lineage: Bacteria; Pseudomonadati; Pseudomonadota; Alphaproteobacteria; Rhodobacterales; Paracoccaceae.